CAGUUCGGAUCGCAGUCUGCAACUCGACUGCGUGAAGGUGGAGUCGCUAGUAAUCGCGGAUCAGCAACGCCGCGGUGAAUGCGUUCCCGGGCCUUGUACACACCGCCCGUCAAGUCAUGAAAGUGGGCAGCACCCGAAGACGGUGGCCUAACCCUUGUGGGGGGAGCCGUCUAAGGUGAGGCUCGUGAUUGGGACUAAGUCGUAACAAGGUACC
RNAcentral lists this ribosomal RNA (214 nucleotides) under uncultured bacterium. RNAcentral's name for it is "partial 16S ribosomal RNA". It matches the Rfam family "Bacterial small subunit ribosomal RNA", at positions 1289 to 1500 of the family's 1533-position model. The record is from RNAcentral.